CUACGUUGAAACACCAGUUCCCAUACGAUCACCGAAGUUAAGCAACGUGGAGCCUGGUCAGUACCUAGAUGGGUAACCACUUGGGAAUACCAAGUGAUGUAAG
This is a non-coding RNA of Acanthosepion pharaonis, 103 nucleotides long. The record is from the annotation of a GenBank genome assembly. NCBI's taxonomy places the organism in Eukaryota, Metazoa, Mollusca, Cephalopoda, Sepiida, Sepiidae.